CUACUCUUGACAUCCAGAGAACUUUCCAGAGAUGGAUUGGUGCCUUCGGGAACCCUGAGACAGGUGCUGCAUGGCUGUCGUCAGCUCGUGUUGUGAAAUGUUGGGUUAAGUCCCGCAACGAGCGCAACCCUUAUCCUUUGUUGCCAGCGCGUGAUGGCGGGAACUCAAAGGAGACUGCCGGUGAUAAACCGGAGGAAGGUGGGGAUGACGUCGAGUCAUCAUGGCCCUUACGAGUAGGGCUACACACGUGCUACAAUGGCGCAUACAAAGAGAAGCGACCUCGCGAGAGCAAGCGGACCUCACAAAGUGCGUCGUAGUCCGGAUCGGAGUCUGCAACUCGACUCCGUGAAGUCGGAAUCGCUAGUAAUCGCAGAUCAGCAACGCUGCGGUGAAUACGUUCCC
Molecule: ribosomal RNA, 402 nt
Filed under: uncultured bacterium
Lineage: Bacteria
Description: bacterial SSU rRNA
Rfam family: Bacterial small subunit ribosomal RNA
Source: RNAcentral